Long non-coding RNA from Myotis brandtii (Brandt's bat), 94 nucleotides. RefSeq lists it as uncharacterized. Lineage: Eukaryota; Metazoa; Chordata; Mammalia; Chiroptera; Vespertilionidae. The transcript has 3 exons. The record is from RefSeq and is a predicted model, not a curated record.
GGAAGAGAUUAACCAAUGAACUUAUAUGCAUAUAUGCAUAGCCCAAGGAGAGACAACAGUGCAGGGGUAAGAGUGGGGAGGGGAAGAGAGCAGA